RNAcentral lists this ribosomal RNA (260 nucleotides) under uncultured Weissella sp. RNAcentral's name for it is "partial 16S ribosomal RNA". It matches the Rfam family "Bacterial small subunit ribosomal RNA", at positions 85 to 339 of the family's 1533-position model. Lineage: Bacteria; Bacillati; Bacillota; Bacilli; Lactobacillales; Lactobacillaceae. The record is from RNAcentral.
UUUCAAGCUAGUGGCGAACGGGUGAGUAACACGUGGGAAACCUACCUCUUAGCAGGGGAUAACAUUUGGAAACAGAUGCUAAUACCGUAUAACAAUAGCAACCGCAUGGUUGCUACUUAAAAGAUGGUUCUGCUAUCGCUAAGAGAUGGUCCCGCGGUGCAUUAGUUAGUUGGUGAGGUAAUGGCUCACCAAGACGAUGAUGCAUAGCCGAGUUGAGAGACUGAUCGGCCACAAUUGGACUGAGACACGGCCCAUACUCC